This 214-nucleotide unclassified non-coding RNA is filed under the name Hevea brasiliensis (rubber tree). Lineage: Eukaryota; Viridiplantae; Streptophyta; Magnoliopsida; Malpighiales; Euphorbiaceae. The record is from RNAcentral.
UCCGUGACCCUCUCCAUUAAAGUAGAACUAUUAUGGUUUGAUUCCUGUUCACUGAUCACCAUCAAUUUUGGUGAAAGGCCCCAAAGUGCACUUAGAAAGCUGCCCAUCUUUGGCGAAGGAGCUAGAGACAGUGGGGACAAAGCUGAAUCAGGACUCGCACCACAAACAUGGACCAAAUCUUUCUCAAGCCAUUCACCCAAAGUACGUUGGUUUU